CCCUUAGAUGUUCUGGGCUGCACGCGUGCUACACUGAUUACUUCAACAAGUGUUUUAACUGGAGAGUUCGCGUAAUCCUGAAAUGUUAUCGUGAUGGGAGUAGAGUAUUGUAUUUGUUAAUCUUUAACGAGGAAUUCCUAGUAAGUGUAGGUUUAUAAGUUGUUCUGAUUACGUCCCUGCCCUUUGUACACACCGCCCGUCGCUCCUACCGAUUGAUUGAUCCGGUGAAUUACAUAGAAUUUUGCGUUUUACAUGACGGAAGAUGAAGUGUUUUAAACCUUAUCAUUUAGAGGAAGGAGAAGUCGGAACA
RNAcentral lists this ribosomal RNA (310 nucleotides) under uncultured eukaryote. Its description in RNAcentral is "partial 18S ribosomal RNA". It matches the Rfam family "Eukaryotic small subunit ribosomal RNA", at positions 1470 to 1796 of the family's 1831-position model. The record is from RNAcentral.